UUGACCUCAAAUCAGGUAGGAUUACCCGCU
This 30-nucleotide non-coding RNA is filed under the name Debaryomyces hansenii. RNAcentral also lists the same sequence under 3 other names. Lineage: Eukaryota; Fungi; Ascomycota; Pichiomycetes; Serinales; Debaryomycetaceae. The record is from RNAcentral.